GACGAACGCUGGCGGCGUGCUUAGCACAUGCAAGUCGAACGGAAAGGCCCUGCUUUUGUGGGGUGCUCGGGUGGCUAACGGAUGAGUAACACGUACGUAACUUGCCCUUGCCUUUGUUCUAACUUCCGGCAACUAAGGCUAAUACCGGCUAGGAGCUCCUGCUGCGUGGUAGGGGUUGGCUAGGUUCGGCGGUUGGGGAUGGACUCGCGGCUGAUGAGUUUGUUGGUGGGGUAGUGGCUUGUCAGGGCUUUGACGGGUUGCCGGGCUGAGAGGGUGACCGGCCACAUGGGGAGUGAGCUACGGCCGAGACUCGUACGGGAGGCAGCAGUGUGGAAUAUUGCACAAUGGGCGGAAGCCGGAUGCAGCAACGCCGCGUGCGGGAUGACGGCCUUCGGGUUGUAAACCGCUUUCGCCUGUGAUGAAGCGUGAGUGACGGUAAUUGGUAAAGAAGCACCGGCUAACUACGUG
RNAcentral lists this ribosomal RNA (468 nucleotides) under uncultured bacterium. Its description in RNAcentral is "partial 16S ribosomal RNA". It matches the Rfam family "Bacterial small subunit ribosomal RNA", at positions 28 to 507 of the family's 1533-position model. The record is from RNAcentral.